RNAcentral lists this ribosomal RNA (445 nucleotides) under uncultured bacterium. RNAcentral describes it as "partial 16S ribosomal RNA". It matches the Rfam family "Bacterial small subunit ribosomal RNA", at positions 354 to 796 of the family's 1533-position model. The record is from RNAcentral.
GUGAGGAAUAUUGGUCAAUGGGCGGGAGCCUGAACCAGCCAAGUCGCGUGAAGGAAGAAGGAUCUAUGGUUCGUAAACUUCUUUUGCAGGGGAAUAAAGUGCAGGACGUGUCCUGUUUUGUAUGUACCCUGAGAAUAAGGAUCGGCUAACUCCGUGCCAGCAGCCGCGGUAAUACGGAGGAUCCGAGCGUUAUCCGGAUUUAUUGGGUUUAAAGGGUGCGUAGGUGGUUUGAUAAGUCAGCGGUGAAAGUUUGCAGCUUAACUGUAAAAAUGCCGUUGAAACUGUCGGACUUGAGUGUAAAUGAGGUAGGCGGAAUGCGUGGUGUAGCGGUGAAAUGCAUAGAUAUCACGCAGAACUCCGAUUGCGAAGGCAGCUUACUAAGCUACAACUGACACUGAAGCACGAAAGCGUGGGGAUCAAACAGGAUUAGAAACCCCUGUAGUCC